AACAUAACUUAAGUUACACAUGAUUUCUUCCAAGUGGUUUGGCUUGUUAAAAACAUCUUACAUUUUAGAUACAUUAUGAUACAGGAAAUUGCUGGCUUUGUGUUUACAGAAGUACCUGACUAUGCCUGACUUUUGUGCAGCCUAUGCUCUAAUCACCGCAGUCUGCAAACAAGAACCCGUGGAAUCACCUUUCACGUGUUUCCCAAAACCGGAGAGAGGAGGAGGCAGUGGGAAGUUGCCCUAAGAAGGGACGGUUUUGUUUCCUGUGGCAGGACACUGCUCUGCAGUGAUCACUUCAGGAGUGAGGACUUUGACAGGACGGGGCAGACUGUCCGGCUUAAAGAUGGUGUUGUGCCAACAGUAUUCAAUUUCCCAGCUCAUCUUCAAAGGCCGGAAGCAACAAGAAGCACAACCACUUCUAGAAGAGCAGAAG
Molecule: long non-coding RNA, 433 nt
Organism: Notothenia coriiceps (black rockcod)
Lineage: Eukaryota; Metazoa; Chordata; Actinopteri; Perciformes; Nototheniidae
Exons: 3
Source: RefSeq, a predicted model, not a curated record